CACACCGGAACUGAGACACGGUCCGGACUCCUACGGGAGGCAGCAGUGGGGAAUAUUGGACAAUGGGCGCAAGCCUGAUCCAGCAAUUCCGCGUGUGUGAAGAAGGCCUUCGGGUUGUAAAGCACUUUAGGCUGGGAAGAAAAAAUCGAAGUGAACAUCUUCGGUCUUGACGGUACCAGCGGAAUAAGCACCGGCUAACUCUGUGCCAGCCGCCGCGGUAACAC
This 224-nucleotide ribosomal RNA is filed under the name uncultured bacterium. RNAcentral's name for it is "partial 16S ribosomal RNA". It matches the Rfam family "Bacterial small subunit ribosomal RNA", at positions 309 to 526 of the family's 1533-position model. The record is from RNAcentral.